AACGAACGCUGGCGGCAGGCCUAACACAUGCAAGUCGAGCGGGGGAGCAAUCCCUAGCGGCGGACGGGUUAGUAACGCGUGGGAACGUGCCCAAAGGUACGGAAUAGCCUCGGGAAACUGAGAGUAAUACCGUAUGUGCCCCUCGGGGGAAAGAUUUAUCGCCUUUGGAUCGGCCCGCGUUGGAUUAGGUAGUUGGUGGGGUAAUGGCCCACCAAGCCGACGAUCCAUAGCUGGUUUGAGAGGAUGAUCAGCAACACUGGGACUGAGACACGGUCCAGACUCCUACGGGAGGCAGCAGUGGGGAAUAUUGCGCAAUGGGGGGAACCCUGACGCAGCGACGCCGCGUGAAGGAAGAAGGUCUUCGGAUUGUAAACUUUUGUCUUUGGUGACGAUAAUGACGGUAGCCAAGGAGGAAGCCACGGCUAACUACGUG
Molecule: ribosomal RNA, 433 nt
Filed under: uncultured bacterium
Lineage: Bacteria
Description: bacterial SSU rRNA
Rfam family: Bacterial small subunit ribosomal RNA
Source: RNAcentral